AUAAAAGAACAGGUGGCACAUGGCUAAGGCAAAAAUUUCCAAGCUGGCCCUGGGAUCACUGAGAUUUGGGAAACACACUGUGAAGACAGGAACAUGAAGUGAGUGUGUGAGCUGAGAAUCAGGCUGGCUCUCAGGCCCGGGUGUGGACAGGGGCCUGCGGCUGGAGAGAUCCCAGGAGAGUCGGGGAGGAAGCAAGUGCUUGUUCCAGAAGAGAGGCUGAGAGGGUCUGAGCCAGGCCGCGGAGCUGGAGGCCAGAAGUGUGGAGUGAGGGCAGCCACCUGCCUGCUGAGAAGCGCCAGGAAGGCUUGCAGGCUCCCGCUGGCCUGUUUGCUUUGGAGCACGAUGAACCCGCCCUGAUCUGCUCCCCGCCCCAGGCUUCCUGCACCUUGGUCGGCCGUGCUCCCUGCUGUGCCCUGAUGCCAGGAGCAGGGCCUGGCACAGCAAGGCCACCGCGGGGACGUGCUGGUGAACGGGGCCCCCACUGUGUGAGGAAGAAGAGUUGGUCUCUUAGUCUUGUCCGUCUACUUACGUUCACUUGAACUUCCACAGUCCUUGGUUUAUGGUCUGGGCUGCAGACAACAUCAGUGGGACCAGAUGACAGAGGACUCCCCUUU
Molecule: long non-coding RNA, 614 nt
Organism: Orcinus orca (killer whale)
Lineage: Eukaryota; Metazoa; Chordata; Mammalia; Artiodactyla; Delphinidae
Exons: 3
Source: RefSeq, a predicted model, not a curated record